UUUAUGGAUUUACGGAUUUUUACGGAUUUACAGAAGUAAAUCUAUAUCCAAUCCACCGACUAUGGAUUUUUAAAUUUUCAAUUAAAUCCAAUCUACCAAUCCAUGCAUCAGAUUUUUACGGAUCAGAUUUUUGUGGAUUGGACGAUUUGAGUGGAUCAGAUUGGAUUCUGAACACCCUUAGUUAACUUCCUCUUGAUAGCUUCCAUCAUAUUUCUAAACUUUGAAGUAUUUGUAAUAUGCCUGGGAAAUGCUCGGAUGCCAACAUUUUCAUCAAAUCUAGUUUCUUCUUUAGAGUGGGUGGAUUACGCUUUUCCCGUGAUUUUUUGGCCGUUGUAUUUGUAGCAAAUUUUAAAUUGUGUUUGUUCCUUGCAUUCAUUAAACUCAAAAUAGAAAUAAACACAUACAUAAACUGGUGUGAUUUUGAGUUGCUAUGUUUUUUAUUUGCCAGUCACCUAAAAAUACUUACUGCGUUUUGUCGUUUGUGUGAUAAAGCUCCCUUGGUGCGACAUGGUGAGCUUCGCAUUGAACAUGGAUUCGCACCAAGCCAUCAUUAACCCACAACACCUUAACCUAUAAAAAAUGACUGAACAAAGUCGAAUAGGUAUUUCAACAAACAUGUCGUAUGCCAUUUCUCUCAAAUCUUAAUUUCAUUAAGUACUUUUCAAAAUUCAUAGAAAAAUAACCCAAAUACUCAUCUAUCAUGAAAUAUACACUCAACUAUAUUCAAAUGACGGUGCACUUUUAAGGAAAUGGAAAAAAAAAAUUACUUUGGGAGAUGAAGCUAUCGGAAAUGAAGUUGUCAUUAAACGCCCGUCGAACUACUAUCAAUUGUUACCAGAAAAGUCAAGACCUAGCUGUUGGAUUUAUAAGAAAACAGAAGGUUCAUUUUUUUUUUUUAUUUGGAAUGACAAGAAUACUGUUGUUCAAAAUUGUUGAAAUUGGCUACAUAGGAUAGAAAAAAUUAAGGUGGCUAAUUUUAAAAGGUCCUAAAACAUUUGAGCCAUUUUUGUAAAUUUCUCAUGGAAGUAUAGGAAUUGUUAAUAUACAUGAUCAUAUACCAUACAUUAACACCACAAUUGUAAUAACACAAAAUAGAAUCAAUAAAAACUACAUUUAUGUAAUUGAUAGCAACUAUGAGAUUGAUGUAUGGUAUGUGAUAGUAUACUAGAACAAGGUCCGUGGAAGUAUCCUUCCAUUGAACUAAUGUAAAUUUUUUUUAUCUAUAUAUU
RNAcentral lists this long non-coding RNA (1229 nucleotides) under Citrus x clementina. RNAcentral describes it as "Citrus clementina (C. clementina) long non-coding RNA (CCLE_LNC003989)". The record is from RNAcentral. Lineage: Eukaryota; Viridiplantae; Streptophyta; Magnoliopsida; Sapindales; Rutaceae.